Molecule: ribosomal RNA, 372 nt
Filed under: uncultured bacterium
Lineage: Bacteria
Description: bacterial SSU rRNA
Rfam family: Bacterial small subunit ribosomal RNA
Source: RNAcentral
AUUGAACGCUGGCGGCAUGCUUUACACAUGCAAGUCGAACGGCAGCACGGGUGCUUGCACCUGGUGGCGAGUGGCGAACGGGUGAGUAAUGCAUCGGAACGUGCCCGAUGAGUGGGGGAUAGCCCGGCGAAAGCCGGAUUAAUACCGCAUACGGCCCUUAGGGGGGAAAGCGGGGGAUCUUCGGACCUCGCGCUAUUGGAGCGGCCGAUGUCGGAUUAGCUAGUAGGUGAGGUAAAGGCUCACCUAGGCGACGAUCCGUAGCUGGUCUGAGAGGAUGAUCAGCCACACUGGGACUGAGACACGGGCCCAGACUCCUACGGGAGGCAGCAGUGGGGAAUUUUGGACAAUGGGCGCAAGCCUGAUCCAGCCAUG